GGAGGAGUGCCCGAGUGGCCAAAGGGAGCAGACUGUAAAUCUGCCGGCGAUCGCCUUCGUAGGUUCAAAUCCUACCUCCUCCACCA
This 86-nucleotide transfer RNA is filed under the name Bacillota bacterium. Its description in RNAcentral is "tRNA-Tyr". It matches the Rfam family "tRNA". Rfam says of the family: Transfer RNA (tRNA) molecules are approximately 80 nucleotides in length. The record is from RNAcentral. Lineage: Bacteria; Bacillati; Bacillota.